GACAUUAUAUAUAUGACUGAAUUGUGCAAUUGAAAUGUUUCCUCUUGGCAUGAAUAUAGCCCCUGCUGCUGACAUGGCAUUAAAUAAUAAAUAAAUAAAUCACAACAUGUUAUAUGUAAGAUAAUAUGUGUAUUAUAAUGAACUUAUAAUCUGCUAUAAUAUGGCGGUCGUUCUGGACCAGGAACACAACUAGCUAUCAUGAAAUGAACACAACAGGAGGGUAAAUGCUACAGGCUACAAUGGCAGUUAGUGUAACGUGUUAUGUAGUGUUUCAGGCAACGACAUGGCUUCAGCUAAGUUUCACAAAGGCAUGAGUAAUGCUGAAUGGCUUGCGCGUCUGGAGAGUUUUGCCCAAACAGGAGUUUGGCCAUCUACACAGGGGAAUAGACCUUCUCCCCGACAAAAAAGAUGGCAUGAGAUGUAUCAGAAGGUAAGUUAUGCAGCUAGAUUCAUGGGCAAACUAACAAACUUUUUUGACAAUACAUUGUGGUAUUUUUAUUUAUGUGUAUGGUUAAGUAAUUACAUGUAAAUACAAUGUUAUAUUGAUAUAAUUAUGAUGACUUAUUGCUGUUUUGAGAUCCAGUGUCAGAGGUAUAAUUCAUGUUCACAGAUAGAAAAGUGCCCUCUGCAAAUGAGGGGACAGACCACUCUUCUGAAGGAAGCUCAGACAUGUAUUUGUGGCUUUCACAAGGUAACUUAAAUUAGCCUGGUUCAAGUUGCAUAAAUAGAUAGAUGUGUUUGCAACAUCAAUGUGUCUUUAUAUCUAAAAUCACAUUAGGAAGACUGUUUUGUACUUUAUGCAUGUGUCACAGGUUCAUCCACCAGUCACAGGGGAAGCAUCACAGAGCACCCCGGCCCAAAGCACACCCUCUGUCAGCGAUGUGUCAUGUCCUGCAAAGAGACCUAAACUGACAUUGUCAAUGUUUGAAAAGUCAAGGUUUGGAGGCUCACAUGUGGCAGCAGCAAAACCUAAUUUGAGCACCCAGAGGAAAACCUCUCAGGUUAAUAUUAAAAGACAUCAAGACUUUUAUAAUGUCAUCAUGACUUUAUCACUAUGUAAUUUUAAUGUAUUAAAAACAUGGCAAUCCCCUUAAUAAAUUAUUCAUAAUGUUUGACUCCACAGAUGUUAGAGCACUCCAGUUCAGCUACAGUUUCAUGUCCACCCUCUGAUCCUCAUCCUCCUCCAUCCCCCAAACCUCAUCAGCCCGUCAUCCAGUCCUCCUCUUCCUUCUUCCUUCCUCCACCUCAGAGUUCACAACGCAUCAAAAAAACAGCAACGCCAUCAACUGUUUCUGAGAAUACUGUUGUGAGGAGCCCAGUAAGAUCUCAUUCAAAAUAUAUACAUGUCUUCAUCAUUUAAUGCUCUCUUAGCUUUUAUUUAAACCAGUGUUUUUUAUAAUAUCAGCAGGUCUCAUCUCAGCCAGAAGAUCUCC
This 1433-nucleotide long non-coding RNA is filed under the name Carassius auratus (goldfish). RNAcentral describes it as "lncRNA (ENSCARG00000019095.1)". The record is from RNAcentral. Lineage: Eukaryota; Metazoa; Chordata; Actinopteri; Cypriniformes; Cyprinidae.